ACGACAACCGGAUACAUGAGGUGGUCCGACCACUGCAAUUGUCGGUUCGACAGUUCGUUGGAAACCGGUAUCCAGUCAGGAUUGCUACAACAGCUUUCAAACUGUAAUGUAGUCGAUUCUGCUGUUUUGUUACAGAAACAGAUUAUAUAUUUGGAAUUAUACGAAUUUGUAAUGAAGGUAAGUGGUAAUGUACGUGUAAAUUACCGAGCUACUCUGCGCUGCGUGUUUUAAAUUCAAAGAUACGAGUGUUUUUUUUAAUUUGUCUUUAAUUUUUACGUGUUUAUAAACGAUUUUAAGCGUUAUUAAUUAUAUGUUAUCAACAGAACUUUUAAAC
Molecule: long non-coding RNA, 334 nt
Filed under: Androctonus crassicauda
Lineage: Eukaryota; Metazoa; Arthropoda; Arachnida; Scorpiones; Buthidae
Source: RNAcentral